UACGGAGGGUGGCAAGCGUUAUCCGGAUUCACUGGGUUAAAGGGUGCGUAGGUGGGUUGGUAAGUCAGUGGUGAAAUCUCCGUGCUUAACAUGGAAAUUGCCAUUGAUACUACUGGUCUUGAAGUUUUCUGGAGGUAAGCGGAAUAUGUCAUGUAGCGGUGAAAUGCUUAGAUAUGAACAUAGAACACCGAUUGCGAAGGCAGCUUACUACAGGGACAUUGACACUGGAGGCACGAAAAGCGUGGGGAUCAAACAGGA
RNAcentral lists this ribosomal RNA (258 nucleotides) under uncultured bacterium. Its description in RNAcentral is "partial 16S ribosomal RNA". It matches the Rfam family "Bacterial small subunit ribosomal RNA", at positions 524 to 777 of the family's 1533-position model. The record is from RNAcentral.